CUCUACGGCCAUACCACUUAGAAAGCACCGGUUCUCGUCCGAUCACCGAAGUUAAGCUCAGUAGGGCGCGGUAAGUACUUGCUGCCAAAGCGCCUGGGAAGUAGUGUGCUGCAGGCA
Molecule: ribosomal RNA, 117 nt
Filed under: Nematostella vectensis (starlet sea anemone)
Lineage: Eukaryota; Metazoa; Cnidaria; Anthozoa; Actiniaria; Edwardsiidae
Source: RNAcentral